This 963-nucleotide ribosomal RNA is filed under the name uncultured bacterium. RNAcentral describes it as "bacterial SSU rRNA". It matches the Rfam family "Bacterial small subunit ribosomal RNA", at positions 508 to 1482 of the family's 1533-position model. The record is from RNAcentral.
CCAGCAGCCGCGGUAAUACGAAGGGACCUAGCGUAGUUCGGAAUUACUGGGCUUAAAGAGUUCGUAGGUGGUUGAAAUAGUUGGUGGUGAAAUCCCAGAGCUUAACUCUGGAACUGCCAUCAAAACUUUUCAGCUAGAGUAUGAUAGAGGAAAGCAGAAUUUCUAGUGUAGAGGUGAAAUUCGUAGAUAUUAGAAAGAAUACCAAUUGCGAAGGCAGCUUUCUGGAUCAUUACUAACACUGAGGAACGAAAGCAUGGGUAGCGAAGAGGAUUAGAUACCCUCGUAGUCCAUGCCGUAAACGAUGUGUGUUAGACGUUGGAAAUUUAUUUUCAGUGUCGCAGGGAAACCGAUAAACACACCGCCUGGGGAGUACGACCGCAAGGUUAAAACUCAAAUGAAUUGACGGGGACCCGCACAAGUAGUGGAGCAUGUGGUUUAAUUCGAAGAUACGCGCAGAACCUUACCAACACUUGACAUGUUCGUCGCGACUCUAAGAGAUUAGAGUUUUCGGUUCGGCCGGACGAAACACAGGUGCUGCAUGGCUGUCGUCAGCUCGUGUCGUGAGAUGUUGGGUUAAGUCCCGCAACGAGCGCAACCCUCACUUUUAGUUGCCAUCAUUAAGUUGGGCACUCUGAAAGAACUGCCAGUGAUAAGCUGGAGGAAGGUGGGGAUGACGUCAAGUCCUCAUGGCCCUUACGUGUUGGGCUACACACGUGCUACAAUGGUAUCUACAACAGGAAGCAAGACUGCGAAGUUAAGCAAAUCCCUAAAAGAUACCUCAGUUCGGAUUGCACUCUGCAACUCGAGUGCAUGAAGCUGGAAUUACUAGUAAUCGUGGAUCAGCGUGCCACGGUGAAUGCGUUCCCGGGUCUUGUACACACCGCCCGUCACACCAUGGGAGUUGGUUCUACCUUAAGGCAAGGUUUCAAACCCUUGACCACGGUAUAGUCAGCGACUGGGGUG